UGGGGAAUAUUGGACAAUGGGCGCAAGCCUGAUCCAGCCAUGCCGCGUGAGUGACGAAGGCCUUAGGGUUGUAAAGCUCUUUUGGCGGGGACGAUAAUGACGGUACCCGCAGAAUAAGCCCCGGCUAACUUCGUGCCAGCAGCCGCGGUAAUACGAAGGGGGCUAGCGUUGUUCGGAAUUACUGGGUGUAAAGCGCACGUAGGCGGAUAUGCCAGUCAGGGGUGAAAUCCCGAGGCUCAACCUCGGAACUGCCUCCGAUACAGCAUGUCUCGAGUCCGGAAGAGGUGAGUGGAAUUCCUAGUGUAGAGGUGAAAUUCGUAGAUAUUAGGAAGAACACCAGUGGCGAAGGCGGCUCACUGGUCCGGUACUGACGCUGAGGUGCGAAAGCGUGGGGAGCAAACAGGAUUAGAUACCCAAGUAGUCCCUGAGCGGGCUGGCAAGGCGCAU
RNAcentral lists this ribosomal RNA (447 nucleotides) under uncultured bacterium. RNAcentral's name for it is "bacterial SSU rRNA". It matches the Rfam family "Bacterial small subunit ribosomal RNA", at positions 355 to 825 of the family's 1533-position model. The record is from RNAcentral.